Molecule: long non-coding RNA, 2420 nt
Filed under: Olea europaea subsp. europaea
Lineage: Eukaryota; Viridiplantae; Streptophyta; Magnoliopsida; Lamiales; Oleaceae
Source: RNAcentral
CUUUGUCUAGCUCUCUGUCCCUUUCCUUUAUUCGAUUUCGAAGUUUCCUACAUAUAAACCCGAAACUAGAUUUAGAUUGUACUAGAAAUGAGAUGCUAACAUACUACAUUACCCCUGAUUUCUUUGACGUAGACUCCAAUGGACUUCUUUUUGAAGCUUUCAUGGUGUGCCUUUUUGCUUUGUUAAUUUCGAAUCCCGUAUGCCCUGGCUACCGGUAGUUUGCGCAUCAAUAUAUGGUGAGGCUAAAUGAAGAAUAUGCUACGAAAUGAUACUAUUUCCAGAACACAACUUUGUUGACAUAAGCUCCGUAGCUUGAGAUUUUAUCCAGUCCAUUAUAGCAUGUGUCUGGACUUAGUCAUCUGUAGCAAGAUAAGCCACUUGCGAAAAGGCCUUACACAUCUUGUCAUAUCUCAACUGUCCUGGAGUACUGAGCUAACCAUCGUAGUGCACUACAACUCUCGUGUAUGCUCUAGUGACAUCUCUCCUCCAUUUCCGUAGUGUGUACUUCUCGGGCAAUUGUGUGAUGUCGUCUCGAAUCAAUACCGUAAUUGCAUGUCUGCAAAUAAUUCCCUGAACUCGAAUAAGUGGCAACUGCAAAUUAUUUCACGCUGCUCCAUAUCAAAUGAGGCAAAAUUUUAUUUUUCCUCCGGUGCUCGUGAUACAUCACAUCCUUACCCACCUCAUAUGUCGUCCCCGAACAUCCCUCAAAAGAAGAAACGAGGAUAGUAAAACAUUCCCUUGAACUAUCUUGCACUUCUCUGAACUUUGAAAUGGUAUAAACUGAUUGGAAAUGCUUCUCAAUUUCAUAAUUCGUUGCAUAGGGCACCAUUUGGGAGUAUGACCUGAAAUUAGCGUGGAACUCCUUCUCCACUUUACUUCUCAAUGCUAUUUCGUACUACUCUACAAAUUGCUUCAACGAGGUCUUCGAAUGCACAUACCCAUCGAAGAACGUGUUCAUACUCUCACUUCGUUGAGUUGUGGACAUUCAUACCCAUAAUGUGGUUCUUAAGAAGGAACCCAACGAUCUCUAUUAUGAUACAAUUCUGACAACCAAUCAUUUUCAUGCAAGUCAUAUGUAUCGAUCGUCUGUUGCCAUCCUUCUUCAAAUUCUUCAACAGUUCGUGAAUCGUAAAACACAUUAUGGAAAGUCGAAAAUAUCCUGCCUUUGUCAACAUGAUAUCCAAACUUCUUCGGCAACUUCUUCAAAAUGUGUCAUAGACACCAUCUAUGUCUCGUGCAUGGGAAAAUGAUCCCAAUUGCGUUUUGCAUGGCCCGAUCCUAACCAGUAACUAUUACAUUCGGAGCUUGUCCAUGAAUGCACUCAAGCCACAUCCUGAAUAGCUAGACAAACGUAUCCGUGUCCUCAUUAGCUAACAAACCACAACCAAACAAUAUUGACUGGCCAUGACGAUUCACUCCAACGAAAUGGGCAAACGGCAUAUUGUACUUGUUAGUGAGAUAAGUGGUAUCAAAUGUCAUAACAUCUCCGAACUCUUUAUACUCUUGCCUACGCCUAUUAUCCGCGCAGAAAACAUUCUUUAGUUGAAACACGUCAUCUAAAUCAAUGCUGAAGUAAAAUCCCAAGCACUUUGCAUUUUCGAAAAGUAGGACUGUAUUGCAGUUACGUCCCCUCUCCAAGUCGUGAACGUCUAACUUGUUUAAUAUAGUUUAUGCAGUCCUGCUCUAUACACAUUAUGUUCUCAUAUCCACCUACUUCCACAACUGCAGAGUUGUAACUUUUAUGUAACGGAAAUCCUGCUACAUCAUUCACUUCAAGUUUACGUUUCACAUUUGCACUCAACUCCCUAUUGCAUCGAUACAACCUAGAUUUAGAAGGACUAGUUUCAUGGUUGUGAUCGAGGUGGACUGUGUUAAUUCUCCACCUUCCAUGACUGUCUGAGGAGGAUGAGGUCCUUGCUUUACAGUGAGUUUGACUGAUUGGUUUAGGCUUUAAAGACCCACUUGCAUUACUACUUCUUCUGCCUUCACGACUGCAUGUGAAAGUUACAUAUCUCAGAACGCCAUCAUCCCCUUUUUUUGAGUUCCAUCUUCUGACGGGAAAACCUAUAUCAUAAGCAUAUCUCUUGUACAUCUCAAACAUGUCUGUUUCGUUGAACAUCAUACCCAUCUCCGCUACAAUCGUACCAUUUUGUCCUGUUGUUUCAUUUUCAACCCUAUUCAUAUUAUUUGCAGCGCUCUCAUUAUCGGACUCCACCAACAAUUCAUCAUACACGUCUUCCAUAAUCUCUUCCACUGCGACAAAAUAAGUAGUAGCGCUUAUCGAAGCAUAAACCAUUUACAUUGCACCAUGCACAAAAUAAGGGGUAAAAUGAAAACAAGUGACAGUUUCUUCACAAUGACAUUUAAUGCAUUGUAUUUGCUGAUCGACGACGGAGGUCAUAAAUAUAACUAAUAUUUAG